AGAGUUUGAUCAUGGCUCAGGGCUAACGCUGGCGGCGUGUCUUAGCCAUGCAAGUCGUGCGGGGGUAAGAGAUGAACCUUCGGGUUCGACUCUUACCCUAGCGGCGGACGGCGGAGUAACACGUGGCUAACCUGCCCCUGGGAGGGGGAUAACCACCCGAAAGGGUGGCUAAUACCCCAUACAGUCCUGAAGGGGCAUCCCUUUAGGAUGAAAGCGGGCCUCUGCUUGCAUGCUCGCGCCCAGGGAGGGGGCCGCGGCCUAUCAGGUAGUUGGUGGGGUAAUGGCCCACCAAGCCUAUGACGGGUAGCCGGCCUGAGAGGGUGGCCGGCCCGAGGGGCACUGAGACACGGGCCCCACUCCUACGGGAGGCAGCAGGCUAGAAAUUUGGGCAAUGGGGGAAACCCUGACCCAGCGACGCCGCGUGCGGGAUGAAGCCCUUCGGGGUGUAAACCGCUGUCAGGGGGGACGAUGGGUUACUGGGCUAAUACCCCAGUAACUUGACGGUACCCUCAGAGGAAGCCCAGGCUAACCUCGUGCCAGCAGCCGCGGUAAUACGGGGUGGGCAAGCGUUGCCCGGAUUCACUGGGCUUAAAGGGGGUGUAGGCGGUCCGGCAAGUCAGACGUGUAAUCCAACGGCUCAACCGUUGGACUGCGUCUGAUACUGCCGGACUUGAGGGCGGCAGAGGAGAGCGGAACUCCCGGUGUAGCGGUGAAAUGCGUAGAUAUCGGGGGGAACGCCGGUGGGCGAAAGGCGGCUCUCUGGGCCGUCCCUGACGCUGAGGCCCGAAAGCCAGGGGAGCGAAGGGGAUUAGAU
Molecule: ribosomal RNA, 814 nt
Filed under: uncultured bacterium
Lineage: Bacteria
Description: bacterial SSU rRNA
Rfam family: Bacterial small subunit ribosomal RNA
Source: RNAcentral